RNAcentral lists this long non-coding RNA (5436 nucleotides) under Populus trichocarpa (black cottonwood). RNAcentral's name for it is "long non-coding RNA (PTRI_LNC000539)". The record is from RNAcentral. Lineage: Eukaryota; Viridiplantae; Streptophyta; Magnoliopsida; Malpighiales; Salicaceae.
CCUACUCCACGGAGCUACUGGUUUGUAUUAAUGAAGCUUACAAACAAUACAAACAAAGGAGGAGGAGAUAAAACUCUCUCAACUCAACUCUACUCUCUCAAGCUCUCUCUAUUCUUCUCUGUUCUCUCUUCUCUCUGUGUUUCUCACGCUGCUCUCUCUGUGUUCUUCAUACACACACAGCUAUACAUAUACAAUUGAUGAUUGAAGGGGCAUGAUUGAUGCCCACCGUUGCCUCCACUUUGUGUCCUCCACCAUGUGCCAAGUGGGAGAUUAGGUAUUCCCACUUGCAUAUGGUGGGACAUUGUUUGUCUCCACUAACUAACAAUCUCCCACUUGGAGACAAACAAUGAAAUCAUCAUUUAUCCUUGAAGACCAACUGAAGUUUUACACAACUUCAGUUUAUCAAGUGUAACUCCUUUGGUUAACAUGUCAGCUGGAUUCUUGCUUCCACAGACCUUUUCUAGCAUUAGUUGCUCGUCAUCCAGCAGUUGUCGGAUGAAGUGAUAUUUGAUCUGAAUAUGCUUCGUCCUGGAGUGAAAUGCUGGAUUCUUGGCAAGGAAGAUUGCACUCUGACUGUCGCUAUACAAAGUACCUUUUCCAUUCAACUUGCCCAAUUCCUUCAGGAAACUCUGCAACCAUACUAUCUCUUUUGCAGAUUCUGAGACUGCAACAUAUUCAGCUUCUGUUGUUGAAAGAGCAACGAUCUUUUGCAAGGUAGAACUCCAGGAAACAGCAGUACCUCCUAGAGUAUAAACAUAUCCUGUAGUGCUCUUUCUGCUAUCAACAUCUCCUGCUAGAUCAACAUCUACAAAACCUUCAAGUUUCAAACCACCAGCUGUGAAACUGAGACAAGUUUCCGAGGAACCUUUUAAGUACCUCAUGAUCCAUUUGACCGCCUCCCAAUGCUGCUUUCCAGGAUUGCUCAUAUAUCGGCUUACAACUCCCACUGCAUGGGCAAUGUCUGGUCUGGUACAGACCAUAGCAUACAUCAAAGAGCCGAUAGCUGAGGCGUAUGGAAUCUUAUCCAUGUAUCCACUUUCUAGCUCAGUUUUUGGUGACUGAUCUUUGCUGAGCUUGAAAUGAUUCCCCAGUGGUGUACUUACUGGUUUAGUAUUAUCCAUACUAAACCUGCUGAGAACCUUCUUGACAUACUCUGUUUGUGAAAGCUUUAGUACGCCUUUGUCUUUAUCUCUGAAGAUUCUCAUGCCAAGUAUUUGUUUAGCAGCUCCCAGAUCCUUCAUUUCAAACUGUUUUGACAACUGCUGUUUCAGCUUAUCAAUCUCCUCAAUGCUGGAUCCUGCAAUCAACAUAUCAUCAACAUAUAAUAGUAGAAUGAUGUAGGAGUUGUCAAAAUGUUUGACAUAGCAACAAUGAUCAGCUUGGCAUCUUGUAUACCCGGAACUGCACAUGAAGUUGUCAAACUUCUUGUACCACUGUCUUGGAGCUUGCUUCAAACCGUAUAGGCUUUUCUGUAGCUUGCAGACUUGAUUCUCCUUUCCUUGCAUUGCAAACCCUUCUGGCUGUUGCAUGUAAAUAUCUUCCUCCAAGUCACCAUGAAGGAAUGCUGUUUUUACAUCUAACUGUUCAAGAUGUAAAUUUUCUGCAGCUACUAUCCCCAGAACAACUCUGAUUGUUGUGAGCUUCACAACUGGAGAAAAUAUCUCAGAGUAGUCAAUGCCUUUCUUUUGUUGAAACCCUUUGACAACAAGUCUUGCCUUGAACCGUUUACUUCCGUCAUGCUCAGUCUUCACUCUGUAAACCCACUUGUUUUGUAAAGCCUUCUUUCCUUCAGGCAGUGUGGUUAGCUCCCAAGUCUUGUUCUUCAGCAACGAACUCAUCUCAUCCUUCAUGGCUAACUCCCACUUGCUUGAGUUUCCAUCUUGUAAGGAUUCUUCAUAAGUUAGCGGUUCACCACCAUCUGUCAACAAAAUGUAAUUCAGUAAAAGUGUGAACCGUUGCGGGGGCUUUAUCGUCCUCGAAGACCUGCGAACAGCUGGUUCAAUUUGCUCCGCAUCUUCUUGUGUAGUAGCGGGUACAGAUAUGCUUGAGUCUUCUUGUAAAGACUCUUGAUUGUUGUUCUGCUCAGUAACAUCGGGAAGGCCUUCUAAUCUUAUGAAUUCAGAUUCUUGUGGCCUUGUAUCUGAAUCAGCCUUAUCUGUUUCUGCACUUGAUCUGGCUUUGUACAGAACUUUCUCAUUGAAGAUCACGUUCCUGCUUCUGAUAAUCUUUCUAUUCUGAUCAUCCCAGAACCGAUAUCCAAAUUCUUCAUCUCCAUAGCCGAUGAAGAAACAUUUCUUGGAUUUGGCAUCCAACUUGUUGCGAGCAUCAGAAUCUAUAUGAACAUAGGAAACACACCCAAAGACCUUUAAAUGAGAGAGUUGUACCUCUUUUCCUCUCCAUACUUCCUCGGGCAGUCUGAACUCCAAAGGAACUGAUGGUCCACGGUUGAUCAAGUAAACUGCGGUAUGAACUGCGUCGGCCCAGAAUGUUUGAGGUAACCCUGAAUGCAACCUCAUGCUUCUAGCUCGUUCAUUGAUGGUCAUGUUCAUCCGUUCAGCAACGCCAUUCUGUUGCGGUGUGCCUGGAACGGUCUUUUCCAUUCUGAUACCAUUAACAGCACAAUACUCUUUGAAACCUCCAUCAAUGUAUUCUCCUCCGUUAUCGGAUCUCAAGCAUUUCAACUUCAGACCUGAUUCAGUCUCAACCAUAGCCUUCCACUUCUUGAAUGUUUCAAACACAUCAGAUUUAUUUUUCAGAAAGUAAACCCAUACCUUCCUGCUGAAAUCAUCAAUGAAAGUCACGUAAUACCGAGAACCUCCAAGAGAUGCUACUGGAGACGGUCCCCAUAAAUCUGUGUGUACCAGCUCUAGCUUUCUUGGUCUUAAGGUCCUGCCAACCUUCAAGAAACUGAGCUUUUUCUGUUUUCCAAGAACACAGCUUUCACAAAUGUCUAGAUCGACAUUUUUUAAUUCUGCCAGCUUUCCCUUCGACUGAAGUAUCUUCAUCCCCUUUUGACUCAUAUGGCCGAGUCUACAGUGCCAUAGAUGUGCUUGAUUUUCUGCUUCAGUAGAGGCAAUAAUGUCUGCAAAUCUUGUGGUCAUAUACAGGGUGCCGGUUUUCUUUCCACGAGCCAAAACCAUUGCUCCCUUUGAUACCUUCCACAUACCUCCAGAAAAAAGGAUUGAAUGACCACUAUCAUCAAGUUGUCCGACCGAGAUCAGCUUCUUCUUUAGAUCAGGAACAUGCCUUACAUUUUGCAAGGUCCAUAUAGAUCCAUUCAUUGUCUUGAUUUGUACAUCUCCUAAACCCACAAUAUCCAAUGGUUGUCCAUCGGCCAGAUAGACUACACCGUGAUCUCCAGCAAUAUAGUUUUGCAUCAUUUCAUGGUGUGGUGUACAGUGAAAUGAAGCACCAGAAUCAAGAACCCAAUCAUCAACAGGACUAUGCACAGCAAGAAUCAAAGCAUCUUGCACCUCAUUUGUGGUAGCGUUUGCAGAGUCAGCUUCAGGUUUUUUUGGUUUUGUGCAAUUCCUCAUGAAAUGACCAGGUUUGCCACAAUUCCAACAUUCAACCUGCUUUCUGGGUCCAAACUUGCUUUUACUUCUAUAUCUUGAUUUUGAUCUGCCUCUGGAUAAGCCUCUAUCAUGUCUCCUCCCUCGAGUGUUGAUGUUGAGAGCUGAUCCUGAGCUUGAACUUUCACCCGAGUCUUUCCUUCGCACUUCUUCAGCCAAAAUCAAGUCUCGAAUGUCAUCAUACUUCAGUUUGGAUUUUCCAACUGAAUUGCUCACGGCUGUCCUCAUGCCUUCCCAACUGCUUGGAAGUGAAGCUAGCAAGAUGAGUGCACGAAUCUCAUCAUCAAACUCAAUCUCAACAAAUGAUAAUUGAUUUGUGAUGGUAUUAAAGUUAUUGAGGUGUUGUGUCACAGAAGUGUUUUCGACCAUCUUCAAGUUGAACAACUUUUUCAUCAGGUGCACUUUAUUAUUUGCUGAUGGCUUCUCAUACAUCCCAGACAAGGCUUCCAUCAAUCUUGCAGUGGAUCUUUCUUUCGUAACAUUGUGAGCAACUCUUCUUGAUAAGGAUAACCGGACAAUGCCCAGAACUUGUCUAUCAAGAAGUAGCCAAUCUUCUUCUUGCAUAUUUUCUGGUUUACUCCCCAACAAGGGAAGAUGAAGUUUCUUCCCAUAUAGAUAAUCCUCAAUUUGCAUUUUCCAGUAUCCAAAAUCUGUCCCGUCAAAUUUUUCAAUUCCAGCUGCUUUUAUUUCAUCUGCCAUUUUUACUACUUCUCCGAUUCGAAUUUCCCAAAUCUGACCUUACAGAUGUGUCCGGAACAGCCGAAAACCUUGGAAAUGACAAUGAGAUCACCCCAAUCGGACUUCGGAUGGCUCAGAUUUUAGCAAUCAAAGUUUUGAAUUAACGGACGGUGCAGAUGCAGCCGCGUGUCAACCAGAGUACCGCCUGCGUCGCACCGGAUCAAAACCUAAGUAGCGGUUCUGAUGAAGCCACGUGUCAGCAGAUUAGGUCCUGCGUCACACCGUAUCAAAACUCAGUAACGGUUAUGAUGAAGCCACGUGUCAGAAGAUGAUGGCCUGAGUCACACUGGAUCAAUACUCAAUAGUGGUCCUGAUUUAACCACGUGUCAACUGAUUGGAUCCUGCGUCGUACUGGAUCAAAACCCCUCCACGUGUCAGAAUAUCAGCUUCUGCGACACAUCGGAACAAAACUCAGCGAUGACGUGGCAGGUGACGUGGCAGGUGACGCGGACGUUGACCGUACGGCUGUGCUGACGUGGCGGGUCAGCCCGACCCGUUUUGCAGAAGCCGGGCGAAGAUGGAGCGUGGCGCGCGUACGGCGCGUUGGUGCGCGUGGGCAGUCUGGGCGUCGGCGCGUGUGGGCGCGUGCGGGCAUGCAGGACGUCGGUUCUUCGCCGAGUUUGCAACAGUGGAUUCGUCCGGUUGUCCUCUACACGAUGGUAUGUUCAAAAACACAUUUGGAGAACUUUGAUUUUUGAGUUUGGAUCAAACACCCUCUUUGUCAAGAACAAGCUCUGAUACCAGUUGUUGGGCUAUUUCCAGAACUCAAUCACACACAAUUUACGUGGUUCGGCAACUUGCCUACUCCACGGAGCUACUGGUUUGUAUUAAUGAAGCUUACAAACAAUACAAACAAAGGAGGAGGAGAUAAAACUCUCUCAACUCAACUCUACUCUCUCAAGCUCUCUCUAUUCUUCUCUGUUCUCUCUUCUCUCUGUGUUUCUCACGCUGCUCUCUCUGUGUUCUUCAUACACACACAGCUAUACAUAUACAAUUGAUGAUUGAAGGGGCAUGAUUGAUGCCCACCGUUGCCUCCACUUUGUGUCCUCCACCAUGUGCCAAGUGGGAGAUUAGGUAUUCCCACUUGCAUAUGGUGGGACAUUGUUUGUCUCCACUAACUAACACU